GCCUGCAUCCACAUUACAGAAUGGUUGUUAGCAGCUGAUGAGUUGUGUGUUAACUUGAGAUUUGGUCUGUGUCACGGGGCAGGUUGGCUCAUAAGAAUUAAAAGCACUACAGCCCUCAUACUAAGGGUCUGUAUGUGUGGAUGGGACGAUACUCGAGUUAAAAUUUUGCAGCGAAGACAAGCACACUGUGGGAUGGUGGGCAUGGCAGGCUCUGCAUACGAUCCGUAAGAGGUUAAUAUGACAUGUUUUUGUAAUGAGCUGGCUAGUGUGUAUAUGUACCAUUGCUCUCUACUAGGUAACAAUAGAACUGCUCAAGUAUUGUAUGUGUCAUAGGUCCUAUAUUUUUAACAACUUAUUGUGAUUCCCUUUUAGCCCAUAUAAUGGCCUAUGAUUUUGGAGCAGAAGGAUCCAACUUCUAUUUGUACUCUUGCAAUGAAGUUCUCAGUAAUUGGGGUGUGCUAUAUAGUGACAGCUAUAAAGUCCAGGGUGAUCAGAUUUAUACAGGGCCUUAGGAGUACAUGGAUCUUUACAUACAGAUGCAGAAUUACAGGAUACUGCCUAACAGGCUUACAAUCUACAUUUAGAAAUAGCAUAAGUAAUGACAUUGGAGGAGGUUUGGGGGAAGGAAGAACAAGGAUUACAGAAUGAUAAUCCUUUGUUUUCUUUUGCAUGCAUCUUGAUAUUUCCACAUAUAUUUUAACAAAUUAAUAUUGUUUAGAGCAAAAUUAAAGUUUUUUUUCUCUCUCCUUAUUGUCAAGAGAGUUGGAGAGGAGGUUAAUAGUGGAUGGAGAGGGCAGAGCUGGGGGUGGAAGAAGAUUGUUGUGUCGGGUGCAUGAGAACGGUAGAGGGGAUCAGACUGUAGUGGGAGGAAGAGAGAGAAGAGUAGCGGAGUGGAAUGUGGGGACAAAAGAAGGCAUGACAAAGGAGGCAGAGGUUGGUGAGAUUAGGUAAUAUGGUCAGUAAGUGAACAAUCAACAAGGCAAGUUAAAGGUUAGUGAUCAGUAUAUUAAUGGGAAGGAACUGAUAGUAUGGCAAUUGAUGGUUACACUCAGUAAGGUAAAAACUGAAUAAGCCUAGCAGAAACAGUCAGCUGUCAGCCAUGGAUGUAACUACAUGUUUUGGUCUCGUCUGUACUGUGAAGGUGGGGGAGAGUCUGGUUCUUUAUUGGCCUGAUUUUCAAAAUAGCUCCUCAAAACUCCCAUUGAUUUCAAUAGAAUCUGCUAGCUGCUGGGCACUUUAGAAAGUCUGGUCACAGCUGUUUAGUGGUAUAUUAACAGUUUGCAGGCCAGAAUUUUUCCCUGAGAUAUUGGGUAUCUGUGACUCCUAGCUGAAGAUUAGGAUGGGGAUGAUGGAGAGACUAAGGAGUAAAGAUAAGGUUUCUACUGGGAUCUUAACCCCCUGACUUUAUUUUAAACUAAAAAUGAGAUAAAAUAGAUAUCUAUUGACAACUUUAACUCUCAACUAAGCGUGUGUGUUUUUCCUUUUGUUUUUUUAAAACAGAACACCAACAUUUCUGAAGUAAUUUUUUUUUCUUCCUAGCACUACUUUAAAGUAUUUUAGAGAAGGAGGAAAGAAAGCAUUAUUAUUAUGAUAAUAAUUUGCAAGUAUCUUUUAUCCAAAGUUUUCAAAACACUAAACAAAUGUGGGUAAGUGACUUGCUGAAAGUCAAACAGUGAAUAGUUUGGAAGAGAAUCCAGGUUUCCUGACUCUAAUUUCUUUCUCUAACCAGUUCUUACACAUAGCCCCUGUAUACAAUAGAGCAAAAAUGUGCAAUUGGUGGAAA
This is a non-coding RNA of Chrysemys picta bellii (western painted turtle), 1783 nucleotides long. The record is from RefSeq and is a predicted model, not a curated record. Lineage: Eukaryota; Metazoa; Chordata; Testudines; Emydidae.